RNAcentral lists this ribosomal RNA (822 nucleotides) under uncultured bacterium. RNAcentral describes it as "bacterial SSU rRNA". It matches the Rfam family "Bacterial small subunit ribosomal RNA", at positions 631 to 1443 of the family's 1533-position model. The record is from RNAcentral.
UACGGGCCGGCUNGAGUGCGGUAGGGGAGACUGGAACUCCUGGUGUAGCGGUGGAAUGCGCAGAUAUCAGGAAGAACACCGGUGGCGAAGGCGGGUCUCUGGGCCGUUACUGACGCAGAGGAGCGAAAGCGUGGGGAGCGAACAGGAUUAGAUACCCUGGUAGUNCACGCCGUAAACGUUGGGCACUAGGUGUGGGGGGCCUUUUCCGGGUCUUCCGCGCCGUAGCUAACGCAUUAAGUGCCCCGCCUGGGGAGUACGGCCGCAAGGCUAAAACUCAAAGGAAUUGACGGGGGCCCGCACAAGCGGCGGAGCAUGCGGAUUAAUUCGAUGCAACGCGAAGAACCUUACCAAGGCUUGACAUGUGCCGGUCUGCUCCGGAGACGGGGUUUCCUCCUUUGUGGGGGCUGGUUCACAGGUGGUGCAUGGUUGUCGUCAGCUCGUGUCGUGAGAUGUUGGGUUAAGUCCCGCAACGAGCGCAACCCUUGUCUCGUGUUGCCAGCACGUUGUGGUGGGGACUCGCGGGAGACUGCCGGGGUCAACUCGGAGGAAGGUGGGGAUGACGUCAAAUCAUCAUGCCCCUUAUGUCUUGGGCUUCACGCAUGCUACAAUGGCCGGUACAGAGGGCUGCGAUACCGUGAGGUGGAGCGAAUCCCUUAAAGCCGGUCUCAGUUCGGAUCGGUGUCUGCAACUCGACACCGUGAAGUUGGAGUCGCUAGUAAUCGCAGAUCAGCAACGCUGCGGUGAAUACGUUCUCGGGCCUUGUACACACCGCCCGUCACGUCAUGAAAGUCGGCAACACCCGAAGCCCGUGGCCCUAUGGGG